GCUACCUAUUCAAUGACGUCACAAAGUUCAUUGACCUUCGAGAUAAUUUUACAAACAUUAUUUCCAAGAUGGCGUCGAAACUCAAAGUUUAGUUGCAUGCAUUUUACUCGUAGACUAAAAUGUUCGAGAAGGAAAUGAUAAUAAUUUCAUAGUUUGGUCGUCAAGUAGGAUUGAAAUAGCCAAUAAAAAUUUUCGCUGCUAUUGUCCUUUAAAUAUUUUAAAUUAAUAUAUUUACGUUUAAACAGGUAAUGUGGUAAUCAAACAAGCUCCAGGGUCCUUCAUUUUUUCGUUGAGAAAUAGGGACAAUCUCCCGCCAUUUAAAGCUCCACUGAAAGAUCAAAAUGAUACUUAUGCAGUUGUGGCUAGUCGUAAUACUGGACCAUGGUUUGGAAGAGGUGUAGACUUCUGGAUUGGCAACAAUGCUGCUUCGCACGCUAACUCACAAUCAGGUUUUGGUUUUUCCUACCAAUCCCCACCUGGCGUCCGCGAUCGCUUCACCAUCUUGGCAGGAACCAAUCCAUUUGUUCCAUCUCAAGUUGAGGUAUUUUAUCUUCUGUAAAACUAUUUCGAUAUAUUCACUGAACCGAGUAUUGUUAUUUUAAAACCAAUCUACGAUUUUGCUAGCUUAGUUCACGAACAUCAAAUAUUGUCUUAGGCCUCGACCAAACGGCAUGCAAGUCAUUGAAAGUUUUAAAUUCUGCGGCAUAAAAAAUAUUUCAAUCACAUGCAGAUAUUUUAAGAGAUUUGGGGUCGAUCAUUGAACUGAUUUCAACUAAAAUAAUAGAAAAACAAAACUGCUGUUAACACAUCUUAUGCAAACGGUUGCCUGACUAUUUCAAGCCUUAAGCGUAUAUUAAAAUAUAAAAUAUUACAAAAUCCAUCCUUCACCCUUAACACUUACCUUGACCUCGACAAGAUAGUACAUAAAACCGUACAAUACCGAAAAUAUCCUGAUAAAAAUAUUAACGUGUCAAGUUUUUAAACGCAGCUAAAAUAUGUAAUUUCUAACGGGGUGUUUUUUAGCGAAUUUACUUCCUAGGUUCUUUGUGUUGUUUGAUCAAUUAAUUCAUUCCUUUUUCUCAAUUUCCCUUUUCUUCAAAAGCUAAAACUUGCGACGACUUGUGUCCCAUUAGGAUUACUCCAAAAUAAGUAUACUAUCGGUACCAAGAUAUAUAAUAAGAUGUAGUAAUGUAAUGUAAAAUUUUGUCAUAGUUUAAAUAAAGUCGAUUGGUUUAAAGUUCAAUGCGUGACAAUUUUUGUGGUAUUAAUUUUUUAUUAAUUACGGAUAAUAAACUAUCCGAAACG
Paramuricea clavata is the source of this 1305-nucleotide non-coding RNA. The record is from the annotation of a GenBank genome assembly. NCBI's taxonomy places the organism in Eukaryota, Metazoa, Cnidaria, Anthozoa, Malacalcyonacea, Plexauridae.